This 482-nucleotide ribosomal RNA is filed under the name uncultured bacterium. RNAcentral describes it as "partial 16S ribosomal RNA". It matches the Rfam family "Bacterial small subunit ribosomal RNA", at positions 28 to 523 of the family's 1533-position model. The record is from RNAcentral.
GACGAACGCUGGCGGCGUGCUUAACACAUGCAAGUCGAACGAUGAAGCCCAGCUUGCUGGGUGGAUUAGUGGCGAACGGGUGAGUAACACGUGGGCACCCUGCCCCAAACUCUGGGAUAACUCCUCGAAAGAGGUGCUAAUACCGGAUACGGACUAGACAGACAUCUGUACUAGUUGGAAAGUUUUUCGGUUUGGGAUGGGCCCGCGGCCUAUCAGCUUGUUGGUGAGGUAACGGCUCACCAAGGCUACGACGGGUAACCGGCCUGAGAGGGCGAACGGUCACACUGGGACUGAGACACGGCCCAGACUCCUACGGGAGGCAGCAGUGGGGAAUAUUGCGCAAUGGGCGAAAGCCUGACGCAGCGGCGCCGCGUGAGGGAUGAAGGUCUUCGGAUCGUAAACCUCUUUCAGUAGGGACGAAGCGAAAGUGACGGUACCUAAAGAAGAAGCACCGGCUAACUACGUGCCAGCCGCCGCCGUAA